GCUUUUAUCCCAUACUCCAGUGACAUGGGGCUUAAGUCACAAAAGUCACUGUCCAGCCUACAGUUGGUCACAAUUGACUGAGCAGACUUAGAACUUAGCUUGGAAUGCUCUGGUCCCUCUACCAGUGGGCCUUAGAGGCCUGGGUUCUGCCUUCCUCUUCCCUUCAGGGUUAUGGCACAGGUAAAUUCACACUGAAUGUAGUCUACUCUGAUAUGAAGUUCCCCUGGAAGAUAUAUGUGCUGUGUAUGGCCUUUCUGGGGGUGUCAGCAAUAUGGAACUACACCAUGGCCAGCCCAAGUAAACAAUAGAGAAAUUGGUGAUGACCAAGCUGAGCAAGUGCCACCACGGUGAGACCCACAAGAUACCCCAGGACUAUCCAGGAGAACUGCUAAGUGUGUAUUAGAGUGCCCACACGGUGAGGAGACUAGGACAAGGGACAUAUUGAUGGGAGCUCUGACAGCUCUCCUGUCCACGCACCCAAGCCUGAAAAACACCUCACAGAAUCCCCUGAAGUCUGUUCUCUUGUUCCCACUCCGUUUUGUCAGAUGCACUGUGAAAGAAGAGUCCAUUUUAGAAUGCAGGUUGGGGUGGGGUCUCUUCAGCUGUCAGCUCCACAGCAAGGCCAAAAUCAGAGCAAAUGAGGUCAGACAGCAGAGGGUGUGCGGACGGGAUGCCAGGGCUCUGGCUCCAAGCAACAGCGGUAGAGGACAGCUACGGGAGCUACAGAAGUCAAGAAGUCAGCUCAUCCCGAUGGAGGCAAAGAGAAAGCCUGACUGGAUGGCAGAGAGCCUGCAGCCAGGGGCUGGGAAGCCAGGGGCUGGGAAGCAAGGCUGGAAGGCGGCUGCAGAGCUAUGCUGUCUCACAGUGGAGUGAGGGAGCAAGGAGGCUGCGGGUCUACGCCCUUGCUCCUUGGGGUACUUCAGCUCAUUCUAGGGAAACUCUCCUCAGGACCCACUGCUGACAAAGUCAGCAUUACACAGAGGCUUGGUCAACCCACUCAGCAGAUACUCAAGCAUGGGCCGCUCUGAGGGGCUGGAGUAGGCAGACCCUUCUGUUCAGGUUCACCCUAGCACCAGUCAUCGCUGCAAGUGGCUCUGAUAUCCUAAUCACAAACCUGACCCUUCUGGAAUUACUGCCCCCUUUUAGUCAGUGGCAGAACCCCUCUGCUCUCAGCAUGCACGAGAGAUUCCUCCCCACUUUCCUACUCUUUUGGAACUUGUCAGCACAGCACAUGAAGAGCAGAGCCCUUCCUAAGGCUUGGCUCUUACUGUCUCUCUGUGAAGCAGGUUGACUGUGUACAGGAAAGAAGUUCAGGGAGAGAUUCCGAACACUCAGCCAAUGUCACACACCAGUUCCUUUCCAUUUGCUCAGAGAAGCAGAACUAAUGCCACAGUUAAGUGAAGCAACCACAUGCACACAUGUGUACACAAACCUGCCUCAGACAUAUGCCUAAACCACACACACACACACACACACACACACACACACACACACACACACACACACACACACACACCCUGAACUCCAAAAGCUAAUUCUCAUUUUUUUCCUGUACUUCUACUGGUUCCAGUGAAUUCCCCAGACUAUCACCAAACCCUAACAUACAAUAACAUGCCCCAACUACUAUGAGCAUGUUCCCUGAAUAUGUUUUUGUUUUGCUUUUGUGUACACCACAUCCGACUCCUGGAACACAUCACCUCCCCUGGAGCCAAUGAUUUUCUAUGUGCCCCAUGUGACAGUUGGGACCACAGUUGUCCUGUAUGCCUCCGAAGCCCUGCAGAUUUCUAUGAUAUGUCACUCAUGGAGAAAUCAUUUUCUACGUAGUGUCAGUCAGCUUGGUCACUUCCCAUAAACUAACUAUGGCUGGACUUAGCCACCUCACUGGCCCCAGGUCGUGUAUAAAGAACAGAAAUGCAAUCUUCGGAAGACAGAGAAGUCCAAGAUUAAGGCACCAGCAGAUCUUCUAUGUGAUGAGUUUGGCCUUGUGGUUUCUAGAUGGCAUUGUAUACCUGUGUGUUCACACAGCCCCUUCCCUCCCGCCUCUCUUAUAAAGGCGCUAAUCUUAAUCACAAGGGCUCCACCAGGGAGGGAAAUGUGUUCUGACCCAGCCAUACACCCAAGUCCAGGGAAGGAGUGAGUGCGUGAGAGCAGACCUCAAGAGAUCACCCCACUCUCUACCUCCUCAGCAGACACACUUUCUUUAUUCUUCAUGAACCUCAAAACCCAAGUUCAGUCUCUACCACCUGCUGAAAGCAAAGGAAACCACUGUCGGGGCCCCCCCCCAAAAAAAAACCCACCUGCUCUCAGUUCCCAAAUAAACAUUUUGGCUUCAC
This is a long non-coding RNA of Mesocricetus auratus (golden hamster), 2333 nucleotides long. RefSeq lists it as uncharacterized. The record is from RefSeq and is a predicted model, not a curated record. The transcript has 2 exons. NCBI's taxonomy places the organism in Eukaryota, Metazoa, Chordata, Mammalia, Rodentia, Cricetidae.